This is a non-coding RNA of Rhodococcus erythropolis PR4, 94 nucleotides long. The record is from Rfam. Lineage: Bacteria; Bacillati; Actinomycetota; Actinomycetes; Mycobacteriales; Nocardiaceae.
UAACCAUCCAGAGCGAUCGAGAGUCCUGGCUCCGUGACGUCGCAGCAACCCCCUCUGCUGAGGUGCGGGUGCUUUCGGCCAGGUCCGAUGGAGG